Saccostrea echinata is the source of this 488-nucleotide long non-coding RNA. RefSeq lists it as uncharacterized. The transcript is spliced from 4 exons. NCBI's taxonomy places the organism in Eukaryota, Metazoa, Mollusca, Bivalvia, Ostreida, Ostreidae. The record is from RefSeq and is a predicted model, not a curated record.
GAUCGGGUAGGAGGUUGCUAUGUUUUGAUACCAAAAAAAAUCUCUGGAAUACAUUAUGAACAGGAUUAGAACAAAAUUCUAAAAAGAACAAAGAAUAUAAGUAUGAAUUUUCAGCACGACAAUUUCAACAAGGCGAUUUGAAGAAUUUGACACUUGAUAACAUUUCAGAUUACCUUACAUUUCUGUAUGAUCGAACAAUAAUUAAUACUGACUCAAUAAAAGAGCUGGAAAGAAAUUUGACAGACAUAAGAAAUCGGAGGAUGGCUCUGGAUAGACAUAUUAGUAAUAUAAUAAAGAAAAAAAUAAAGCGCAUCAUCAGGACGAAAUUCAGAAAUUCAACAAAAAGUGCACACACAAGAAGGAAGAGUAAAAAGCCAACAAGAAACGGAAACAAAAAACUAAAAAUUAACUACCAUAAUCAUGUUAAUGAGUAGCUUUUAAAUCGAUGAAAUAAUUUUUACUAUCUCAAACAUCAAUUUAAGCUAACG